This 1736-nucleotide long non-coding RNA is filed under the name Mus musculus (house mouse). RNAcentral describes it as "zinc finger E-box binding homeobox 2, opposite strand". The stretch from base 465 to 595 matches the Rfam family "ZEB2 antisense RNA 1 conserved region 1". The record is from RNAcentral. Lineage: Eukaryota; Metazoa; Chordata; Mammalia; Rodentia; Muridae.
GGCACUGUCUCUUUCCCUACACCCUCCGCCCCCAAAUUAAGAUUUCCCAUUUUACCCGGCAAAAGAAAUAUAAUUAUAAGCCUCUCUGGACAUUGUUCCUCCCCCAACCUCACCACUUGGACAAUAUUUACUUAAGCCCCCCCCCCCCAUACACACGUUUCCCCACACUGAUUUCCUUAAAUUCUUCCAGUAGAUUGUUUUUUGUUUUUGUUUUUGUUUUCUUCCCCUCUCAAGAAAGGAAAGAGAAAGUCCGUGGCCACUAUUUAAGUUGUUCUAAAUGAUCGUGUCCUUUUUGGCUUCGAAACUUUUGUACCUAAAAAUCGAGGGAGGCGCUGCAUUCUUUCAGCUCAAACUGUCAAAACUUGGAGAAGGGGAACCUCGGAGGCAGGCCGGAGAAGAGGAGAGCCCUGAAACUCCGCGGGGUGGGAAGACGCUGUGCCUCGAGGAUUAGUUUAAACAGCGGGCUAUAAAAGAUGUAACAGAUGCAAACUGUAACACAAGGGCCAUUAACCCUUUCUCUGCCGCCCAGCACGCCCAGUCCCUACACCCUGCACCUAUUGUCUCCGGUGCCACAAGCUUUGCGGAAAACCUGGAAAUUUUGGCCAGAAAUGGUGAGAAGAAAAAGCAUGAAGAAGCCGCGAAGUGUGGGGGAGAAAAAGGUGGAGGCGAAGAAACAGCUCCCGGAGCAAACUGAACAAAACCUCGCCAAGAGUGUCUGGAGGCAGGACCGUUAUUCCUGCCGAGCAGGGGAGAGAAGAGAGACCCUGAAACACGCGCCACCUAUCUUUGUGGGGAGGGAUAAUUGAAGCGCCCUGAGCGUGAGCAUCAUGUGAAAACGUGAUCGCCAAGUUUCUCUCUGGGAAAGGAUCUGGGAUAGAUUAUACCUUGAAGUCUCCGCAAACGCUUUAGUGGAAGAAAUGAAAUUCCACCUCCCUCCCUUCCUCUCUCCCUCCCUCCCUUCUCCACGCCCCCCCCCCCCCCCCCCCCCCCCGUCAAGCAAGCCUUUGGCAUCAUUAUCCUCAUCACUAAAUCCUGCAGAGUACUGGGCGGAAAACGGUGCACACCAUUCACAGAACUGGAGAACUCCAAGGGGCGAAAGUUAAAGGGAAAGCUCUCGGGUCUUCCAUGCAGAUCUCUUGUCUUAUACAGAUAUCUCUGGUGACUAGGUUUGAGGUGCACGUCAAGUUGUAUGGAUACCUCAAGCACCGUUUUUGGAACUAAAUUCUUGCCCUUUCUCUUAUUACAUUUUUUUUUUUAAAGAUGCCAGAGCUAGGGGAGGGAAAUGCUACUUGUACACUGCAUCUUAGGAUCUCAGUGUGCAGUGUAUGUGUGUAUGUGUGUGUGUGUGUGGGGGGGAGAUUUUCUGGAUUGGAUCCCUAUAUUAAAAGUUUGGCAUUUUAAUAAAGGGUCUCUAGGUUAACAUAGAGCUGUACUAUGCUGGCCAAUCUCUGGACCCCUCUACACCUCAUGCAGACCACAUUACAAAGUGAGGGGACAGGGGCAGGAGGAAGAAGGAGAAAGGUCAGAGGAACUUAGGACGAAAGAAAGAAGAGGGUGACACUAAACUGUGUGGGGUCUAAGUUUUGAAGUGCAUAUUUUUGAUAUUGCAAUUAAACUAAAAUUAAAAAGAAAAGACUCCACCUUUGCUCUGAAGGGAUUGGUUAUGCAAAUAUGGAAGGGAUUUCCUGGAGAAUACAGCUUUCUACUGUAUGGUUAAUUAAAUAAUCACUCAAAAA